UACGUAGGGGGCAAGCGUUGUCCGGAAUCAUUGGGCGUAAAGAGCGUGUAGGCGGCCAGAUAAGUCCGCUGUGAAAUCUCGAGGCUCAACUUCGAGCUGUCGGUGGAAACUGUCUGGCUAGAGUCCGGAAGAGGAGAAUGGAAUUCCUGGUGUAGCGGUGAAAUGCGCAGAUAUCAGGAGGAACACCGAUGGCGAAGGCAGGUCUUUGGGCCACUACUGACGCUGAGAAGCGAAAGCAUGGGGAGCGAACAGG
RNAcentral lists this ribosomal RNA (253 nucleotides) under uncultured bacterium. Its description in RNAcentral is "partial 16S ribosomal RNA". It matches the Rfam family "Bacterial small subunit ribosomal RNA", at positions 524 to 776 of the family's 1533-position model. The record is from RNAcentral.